CCCUUAGAUGUUCUGGGCUGCACACGUGCUACACUGGCAGGUUCAGCGAGCUUCAUGCCCUGAUCUGAAAGGAAUGGGAAAUCUUUUCAAAACCUGCCGUGCUUGGGAUAGAUGUUUGCAAUUAUUCACCUUCAACGAGGAUUGCCUUGUAAGCGCACGUCAUCAGCGUGCAUUGAAUACGACCCUGUAUUCUGUACACACCGCCCGUCGCUCCUACCGAUUGAAGUUUUCGGUGAGUUGACAGGAGGAUUUUUUUGAAACUGGUUCGCCAGUGGAUUUUAGAUCCAAAUGCCAACGAAUCGAUGGCUUUAGAGGAAGGAGAAGUCGUAACA
Molecule: ribosomal RNA, 332 nt
Filed under: uncultured eukaryote
Lineage: Eukaryota
Description: partial 18S ribosomal RNA
Rfam family: Eukaryotic small subunit ribosomal RNA
Source: RNAcentral